This 71-nucleotide non-coding RNA is filed under the name Symbiodinium sp. clade A. The record is from RNAcentral. Lineage: Eukaryota; Dinophyceae; Suessiales; Symbiodiniaceae.
CUUGUCAUCAUCGAUCCUCACCAGGAUUGCUGGUCCCGCUGGACCGGGGGUGACGGAGCUCCUGGCUGGAC